GUCGACACAAAGGUUCUCCAAGUCCCCAUCAGGUAGCUAGAUACAGAGUGUCGAUUGGUGCAUUCACAAACCCUGAGCUAGACAUAGGGUGCUGAUUGGUGUGUUUACAAACCUUGAGCUAGAUACAGAGUGCCGAUUGGUGUAUUUACAAUCCCUUAGCUAGACAUAAAGGUUCUCCAAGUCCCCACCAGACUCAGGAGCCCAGCUGGCUUCACCCAGUGGAUCCCCCACCGGGGCUGCGGUUAUGCAUUUUGGUGCCUGACUCUGGACAGUCAUUUUUUUCUGCUGUUCUGUAGGAUCUCAGGCACACAUGUGGCUUGUUGACAAAACAAAAUGCUGCUUUUUGCUUUAGGUUAGAAGAGUCAGACGCGUCUUCAUUGACCUUCAUUAAACAAAGAGGUUAAGUCAUUUACUGUGUGAUUACCAUAGGUAUCAUUUUAAAAACACAUUACCUCGGCCAGGCGUGGUGGCUCACGCCUGUAAUC
Molecule: long non-coding RNA, 485 nt
Filed under: Pan troglodytes (chimpanzee)
Lineage: Eukaryota; Metazoa; Chordata; Mammalia; Primates; Hominidae
Description: long non-coding RNA NONPTRT009912
Source: RNAcentral